This 305-nucleotide ribosomal RNA is filed under the name uncultured bacterium. Its description in RNAcentral is "bacterial SSU rRNA". It matches the Rfam family "Bacterial small subunit ribosomal RNA", at positions 338 to 660 of the family's 1533-position model. The record is from RNAcentral.
CCUACGGGGCGCAGCAGUGGGGAAUAUUGCGCAAUGGGGGAAACCCUGACGCAGCAACGCCGCGUGCGGGAUGACGGCCUUCGGGUUGUAAACCGCUUUCAGCAGGGAAGAACAUCGACGGUACCUGCAGAAGAAGCCCCGGCUAACUACGUGCCAGCAGCCGCGGUAAUACGUAGGGGGCGAGCGUUAUCCGGAUUCAUUGGGCGUAAAGCGCGCGUAGGCGGGUGCCUAAGCGGGACCUCUAACCUCGGGGCUCAACCCCGAGCCGGGUCCCGAACUGGGCGUCUCGAGUGCGGUAGGGGAGG